UGGAAGUUUUAAGAGGGCUGUUUGCCUCAGAGACCUGAAAAGCAAAAUCAGGCACCAGAAGGGCAAAGCAUGGGCAGGUCAGCAAGAGAGCAGGGGACCCAGUGACUCCACCUUGCCUCUGCCACAAACUGCAUGGCCACGGCCAAGCCACUGGCCCCUCCGUGUGUCAAAUGAGAGAACUGGAUAAGAUGAUUUCAAAGGUCCUUCCCAACUCUGAUUCCAAGAUGACAGAAUUGAGUUCAGGAAGAUGCUGAGCAAAGGCACCCAGGCUUCCAGCAUGAGGGGGCCGGCACUGGAAGGCGAUCUGUCCUUCUUCCAAGGCAUUUCCUCGGGUUAGCUCUGCACCUCAAGUCAGAGGCCACUCUCUAAAGAUGUCAGGGACAGCAAGAUGGUGGAUACUUAGAUGGCCGUCGCUCACAGUGAAGACUGGCUUGAUGGUGGUUUGAAGGGGCAGUUCAUAGAGGAGAGACCUAUGUCUCUCCUCUACCUGGACUUUGUAUGUUCUCAUUUCGAACCUGUCCACUUAAAUAGCUUCUCACUGAUAAGUUCAUACACUAAAACAAGCCACCCACGAGGCCAGCUUCCAGCAAAGCAGAAGGUCGGGGACAGCCACAGCUUGUAAGGUCCAGAAAACCCUAUGAGGAUGAACAAGCGUCAUUUGAGAGCGUAAGAUUUAAAGCUGUGCGCUGAUCGGCAGGACUCUUUUAUCAACGAAGCCUGACAGAAGAAGCAUCAUGGGCGAAGAAUCAGUGCCUGUCUGGUGUAAGAUUACACAGGCGCAGGAGGAUCCAUGGGGAAAUAUGCCCUCUUCUCUCUGUGGCCUUUGGACACUAGAUACUGGGGAUUUUUUUAAAAGAUUGAUUGAUUUAAAAGAUUUUGUUUAUUUAUUUGAGAGAGUGAGCAGGGUGGGGUUAAAGGGUGAGGGAGAAGCAGAUUCAGGGAACCUGACGGGGGCUCAGUCCCUGGGACCCAGGAUCAUGACCUGAGCUCAGGCAGAUGCUUAACCAGCUGAGCCACCCAGAUGCCCCAAAUUUAUUUAUUUAUCUUAGAGAGAGAGAGAGAAAGAGAGAGAGAGAGAGAGCAUGCUAGCAGGGUGCAGGGGGACAGAGGGAGAGGAAGAGGGUAAGCAGAUUCCUGCCGAGCUGUUUCGGGGCUCAGCGUGGGGCUCCAUGCAGGCAGGAUCUCAUGAUCCUGAUAUCAUGAUCUGAGCUGACAGCAAGAGUGGGGUGCUCAACCAAUUGAGCCACCCAGGCGCCUCUGAUCCUGGAGAUUUUUUAAGGGACUGAACAACCUAAUCAAGGGAAAUAAACAUGAGUGAAAUUCUGAAACUUAAUUUUGAGACCAAGAACUAUAAAACUGACCAAGACCCUAACUUAGAUAAGAUACCCAGCGUUAGCUAAAUUCUAUUGAAAAUUGUGUUAUCGCAGAGGUGCACUAGCUUAAAUAGAAGAACUAGAAAAAAAAUUAAUGCUAAAAUAAAAUGAAGAAUGCAAAAAUCAUUUCAGAUUUAAGAGUUAUUUAUAAACGUGUUUACAAAGAAGUUAAUGCAAAAAAUCAAAAAUAAAAUCAAAGUGAGCUCAGGUCUUCUGGCCCGUUGGAAGUCUGGAAUUCUAGGCACAUCUUUGGUGAUCUUGGAAAGGGAAGCCUGUGAACUGGGGACAGAUUUUCAAAGUUUAGAUCAAAGGUUUUGUUGCCUAAUGAAGAAGACUCCACCAAACGGAGGAAUCCUCUCUAUGGCAGCUCCAGCUAAGUGCUUUCUUUUUCAAAGAGCAACUUGCACAAUUUCUACGCAGUAUUUUUCAACCUCAGGUUUAUUCUAAGGUACAGCUUUUCUGAUAAGAUAUAAACUCCAGACUUAGAAGAGCUUGACCCACCCCAUUUUAAACAACACUGCGAAUUAACAUUGUAGUUUGAAAAAGAUAAAUUCCCAACUCUUUCCUAUUUUUGUUUAAUUUUUACCUCCUGGAAUGUUCUCAGUUCUCUCAAGAGAUUGUAGAAUUCACUCUCCAAGCGAAAGCAAUUUAAAUUCAUUAAAAAACUACUUGGGACACCUGGGUAACUUAGUUGAUUGGGUGGCCAACCCGUGCUUCUGGCUCAGGUCACAAUCUUGGGUUCUUGAGGUAAGAGUCCCUCAUCUGGCUCUGCUCUCCGUGUGGAGUCUGCUUGAAGUAUUCUGUCUCCC
This is a long non-coding RNA of Mustela lutreola (European mink), 2182 nucleotides long. RefSeq lists it as uncharacterized. The record is from RefSeq and is a predicted model, not a curated record. Lineage: Eukaryota; Metazoa; Chordata; Mammalia; Carnivora; Mustelidae. The transcript is spliced from 4 exons.